RNAcentral lists this ribosomal RNA (757 nucleotides) under uncultured Carnobacterium sp. RNAcentral's name for it is "bacterial SSU rRNA". It matches the Rfam family "Bacterial small subunit ribosomal RNA", at positions 28 to 776 of the family's 1533-position model. The record is from RNAcentral. Lineage: Bacteria; Bacillati; Bacillota; Bacilli; Lactobacillales; Carnobacteriaceae.
GAUGAACGCUGGCGGCGCGCCUAACACAUGCAAGUCGAACGGUUAAAGCACCUUUUAGGUGUGUAUAAAGUGGCGAACGGCUGAGUAACACGUGGGCAACCUGCCCUCCUCUUGGGGAUAGCCUCGGGAAACCGAGGAUAAUACCCGAUACUUCAAUGUGGCCGCAUGACGACAUUGAGAAAGCUUUUGCGGAGAAGGAUGGGCCCGCGGCCUGUUAGCUUGUUGGUGGGGUAGAGGCUCACCAAGGCAAUGAUACGUAGCCGACCUGAGAGGGUGAUCGGCCACACUGGGACUGAGACACGGCCCAGACUCCUACGGGAGGCAGCAGGAGGGAAUCUUCUGCAAUGGACGAAAGUCUGACGGAGCAACGCCGCGUGAGUGAAGAAGGUUUUCGGAUCGUAAAACUCUGUUGUUAAAGAAGAACAAGGAUGAGAGUAACUGCUCAUCCCCUGACGGUAUUUAACCAGAAAGCCACGGCUAACUACGUGCCAGCAGCCGCGGUAAUACGUAGGUGGCAAGCGUUGUCCGGAUUUAUUGGGCGUAAAGCGAGCGCAGGCGGUUCUUUAAGUCUGAUGUGAAAGCCCCCGGCUCAACCGGGGAGGGUCAUUGGAAACUGGAGAACUUGAGUGCAGAAGAGGAGAGUGGAAUUCCACGUGUAGCGGUGAAAUGCGUAGAUAUGUGGAGGAACACCAGUGGCGAAGGCGACUCUCUGGUCUGUAACUGACGCUGAGGCUCGAAAGCGUGGGGAGCAAACAGG